Molecule: long non-coding RNA, 962 nt
Filed under: Homo sapiens (human)
Lineage: Eukaryota; Metazoa; Chordata; Mammalia; Primates; Hominidae
Description: long non-coding RNA NONHSAT027241.2
Source: RNAcentral
GUUGCAGUUGCUGUAGGAUUCUAAAUCCAGUGAUUGUUUCAAACUGAGCAUCAACAACAAAAACAUUUGUAUGAUAUCUAUAUUUCAAUCAUGGACCAAAAUCAACAUUUGAAUAAAACAGCAGAGGCACAACCUUCAGAGAAUAAGAAAACAAGAUACUGCAAUGGAUUGAAGUGUUCUUGGCAGCUCUGUCACUCAGCUUUAUUGCUAAGACACUAGGUGCAAUUAUUAUGAAAAGUUCCAUCAUUCAUAUAGAACGGAGAUUUGAGAUAUCCUCUUCUCUUGUUGGUUUUAUUGACGGAAGCUUUGAAAUUGAAAUUUGCUUGUGAUUGUAUUUGUGAGUUACUUUGGAUCCAAACUACAUAGACCAAAGUUAAUUGGAAUCGGUUGUUUCAUUAUGGGAAUUGGAGGUGUUUUGACUGCUUUGCCACAUUUCUUCAUGGGAUAUACAGGUAUUCUAAAGAAACUAAUAUCAAUUCAUCAGAAAAUUCAACAUCGACCUUAUCCACUUGUUUAAUUAAUCAAAUUUUAUCACUCAAUAGAGCAUCACCUGAGAUAGUGGGAAAAGUUGUUUAAAGGAAUCUGGGUCAUACAUGUGGAUAUAUGUGUUCAUGGGUAAUAUGCUUCGUGGAAUAGGGGAGACUCCCAUAGUACCAUUGGGGCUUUCUUACAUUGAUGAUUUCGCUAAAGAAGGACAUUCUUCUUUGUAUUUAGUAUAUUGAAUGCAAUAGCAAUGAUUGGUCCAAUCAUUGGCUUUACCCUGGGAUCUCUGUUUUCUAAAAUGUACGUGGAUAUUGGAUAUGUAGAUCUAACACUAUCAGGAUAACUCCUACUGAUUCUCGAUGGGUUGGAGCUUGGUGGCUUAAUUUCCUUGUGUCUGGACUAUUCUCCAUUAUUUCUUCCAUACCAUUCUUUUUCUUGCCCCAAACUCCAAAUAAACCACAAAAAGAAAGAAAAGCUUC